Long non-coding RNA from Vidua macroura (Pin-tailed whydah), 348 nucleotides. RefSeq lists it as uncharacterized. The transcript has 3 exons. The record is from RefSeq and is a predicted model, not a curated record. Lineage: Eukaryota; Metazoa; Chordata; Aves; Passeriformes; Viduidae.
GGCAAGCCUGAAUUCAACUGGGUGCUAAAGCCUAGCACUGCCGACCAGCGUCUGCCUGGCGUGUUUCUGGUCAAGCCCACCACUGGCUCCAUUGCACGUGGCGAGAAGCAAGUGCUGAAAUUCUCUUACAUGCCGGGAUUACCAGGAGCCUUCAGCAGGACUUACCAGCUUAAAGUGGGUGACCUGGACCCAGAAAAUAUCUGCCUGAAAGGAGAAGCGUCCUUUCCCAUGAUCAGGGUGAACCUGCCCUGGAACAUCAAAGGAAAUGAAAAAGAUGAGAUCACUAAGAGUCAGACCUCGAAGACUCGGAAUCCAAAGACUCAGGGCCUGAAGCCCCACAUCCCUCGU